RNAcentral lists this ribosomal RNA (429 nucleotides) under uncultured bacterium. RNAcentral describes it as "bacterial SSU rRNA". It matches the Rfam family "Bacterial small subunit ribosomal RNA", at positions 29 to 506 of the family's 1533-position model. The record is from RNAcentral.
GCGAACGCUGGCGGCAGGCUUAACACAUGCAAGUCGAACGCACCGCAAGGUGAGUGGCAGACGGGUGAGUAACACGUGGGAACGUGCCCUCCGGUCUGGGAUAACCCUGGGAAACUAGGGCUAAUACCGGAUACGUGCUUUGGCAGAAAGGUUUACUGCCGGAGGAUCGGCCCGCGUCUGAUUAGCUAGUUGGUGGGGUAACGGCCUACCAAGGCGACGAUCAGUAGCUGGUCUGAGAGGAUGAUCAGCCACACUGGGACUGAGACACGGCCCAGACUCCUACGGGAGGCAGCAGUGGGGAAUAUUGGACAAUGGGCGCAAGCCUGAUCCAGCCAUGCCGCGUGAGUGAUGACGGCCUUAGGGUUGUAAAGCUCUUUUCUCCGGGACGAUAAUGACGGUACCGGAGGAAUAAGCCCCGGCUAACUUCGU